Molecule: long non-coding RNA, 3067 nt
Filed under: Homo sapiens (human)
Lineage: Eukaryota; Metazoa; Chordata; Mammalia; Primates; Hominidae
Description: HSALNT0196331
Source: RNAcentral
GGGGGGGCCAAGGGCGGUGGCUCACGGCUGUAAUUCCAGCACUCCGGGAGACAGAGGUGAGUGGAUCACUUGAGGUCACUAGUGUGAGACCAGCCUGGCCGACAUGGUGAAACCCCUUUCUGCCAACUACAUAAAAAAAAAUUAGCCAGGUGUGGUGGCACAUGCCUGCAAUCCCAGCUACUAGGGAGACUGAGGCAGGAGAAUUGUUUGAACCCUGAAGGCAGAGGUUGCAGUGAGCCGAGUUCAUACCACUACACUCCAGCCUGGGCAACACAGCAAGACUCCGCCUCAAAAAAAAAAAAAAAAAAAAAAAAGAUUCUGAAGGGGCCAGGCACAAUGGCUCAUGCCUGUAAUCCCACCACUUCGGGAAGCGGAGGCCAGAAGAUUGCUUGAGGCCAGUAGCUGCCUCCCAACAUGGUGAGACCCCCGCCUCUCAACAAAAAAAUUAAAAAAAAAAAAAUUAGCUGCUGUAGUGGUGCACAUCUGUAGUCCCAGCUACUCCGGAGGCUGAAGUGGGACGAUCGCUUGAGCCCAGGAGUUCAAGCUGCAGUGAGCUAUGACCACGUCACUGCACUUCAGCUUGAGCAACAGAGUGGGACCCUGUCUCAAAAAUUUAAAAAUAGCAUAAAUAUUCCAAACGCAAUUAUAUGGAAUAAGUUGGAAUGGAAGAUAAAAAGCAGAAGCCAGAGAAAAAAAGUAAAGUCGUCUCCCAUCGGAAAAAUUUUGGAAACAACUUCUUUAAAAGAUGAGAGAAAAUGUUCCCUUGCUUGCAAAAUUAAUGUCCCACUCAAGUCACCAGUAGGAAAUUCUGCUAUCUUCUGUGCAACGAUGAUAGCUUUCCCUACGCUUAUGAAAAUCAAUUCUGAUUGCUAGAAAAUAUGGUGGAAAAUAGAAUCCCUCUGUACUGUCAGCUCGCAGAAUUAUCUGAAAGUGUUAAGUCAAUUCCUGCUAGGGCACUCCGGAUGACAGUUCUCUGCACCCUUCUGGAUGACUCUUUAGAAACCAUAUUCCAUCCCUAAUUCUGGCUGUCUAGAAUAUAUGAAACAUUUAACUCAACAUAAAAUGAUAAUAGCCAACUUUCAAAGGUCAAAGGGGACCAGUUUAUAACCUUCCCUCAACACGUGUUCAGUACAAACUUCCGGGUGCACUUACAAUUGGCUGCGCAAUUCAAUGGAUAAAAACGUUGCUUUAUUUGUCUCUCAUUUUCUGGCCCGUUCUUUUCCCACGUUUCUCAACCAGCGACUCCCCAAAACAAAAGCCUCCCACAGUAAACCGAGCACGCACAUAAAAAGAGCUUCUCUGUGCGAGGAUCAAGUUAGUGGUCCGCAAACAUUAACCAAACAGAAGCACAAAGCAGGGGUGGGAAGGGGAGGAGCUGGAUGCCAGGGUCAGGAAAGAAACAAUCAGAAGGGUUUAGGAACAUCCAAAUCUCCUCAGCGGUUAAACCGACCCCAAACCACUUCUGGGAAACCACCGGUAUCCACUGCUUUGGGGAACUCUGGAUGCUCGUUAUGCCAAACGCUCUCAAAGUAAGCAAAUCCCCAACUGCCGUUCCCCUCCAUGGGUAAUUCUUAGGGUCUGGGAGGUGAGCUCGCCCGCCGAGGCAGAACUAAGCGAGUCGCCUGGAGAGGCGUGAAGGGAGCCUGCACGUGUCCCCCGCGGCUUCCCCACCGCCCCAAGAGCGGGGCAUGUACGAGACCGCGCUGUGGGGUUCAGAUUUAGGAAGGACGACCGCGUCGCCUGCCUCCCUCCCUCGCCCAGAGCCGGGAGCAAUGCUGGGGCACGAAAGAGGACUUGGGAAGGAUCCGGUCCUUACUUUCCCCGCGGGUCCCGGACCCGCAGCCCCCGGGUUGUGAGGCGGAAGCCAAAGGGGCGAACCCAGCGGAGCCGGCGUGCACAGACCCUGCCCCGCGGUCCAAGAGGGGUGCCUCCGGCCCGGGACAGCGGGGCUCCCGGAGCCCGAAAGCCCCACGAGCGGCGACAGCGGGGCCCGGCGCUGACGAACAGAGGAAGCGAGUACAACGGAGCCGCCGUCGGGAACAUGCCCCCGAGGGCCCCGGAGCGCGCGGCCGCGAGGAGCGGCAAGCGGCGAGGGAGGCCCCAAGCCGGGGCGAGGUGGCUGUCCCCCCAGCCUGGCCCCGCACGGCCCCCCGAGGGUGGGAGUGGGAGGCUGUCCGGGAGGGGGAGUGUGGAAGGAGAAAAGGGCCAAGGGAAGGACUUACUUUCCCCGCGGGACCCGGCGCCAGCACAGCUCCUCCCGGGAGGUGUGAGUUUGAAGGACCAGAGGCGACUGGAGCGGAGGCGGCGGUGGCGGCGGCAGCAGCGGCGUCCUGCUCUGCCUACCUCCCCGCCGCCAUCUUGACGCCCCUCCCCCAGCCCCCCCGCCCCGCCGGGAGGGGCGGGGGAGGGGCAACGGAUGAGGCGCCGCGCGCACGCAGCGCCCUCACGUGACUUCCUCCCUCCUCCCCCACCCGCCUCUCUGCGCCCCUCUCCGCCCCGCCUCCCUCCUAGGUGAAGGAAGAUGAUUUCCCCCCCAUCUUGACCACCCCCCAGUCUUCGCCGCCAAAAACGGACUCCGCCGGCUAUCCUCGGCCCGGUACCAGUUGUUGGAUCCAAGAGAAUUCCGGAACCCAAACGGCUCGCUCAAAGCACUUUAUUGGCAGUGAAACCGCAAGUAACCCGGAGCCCUCGGCGCGACCACGGCUAGAAUCAGAGCCUAAGGCGUGUGAGCUCAGCCAUCCCACGUCUGUCUUCACGCUCAUACGCAAGCCCGACACACCGGGGCUCCCACUUAAUGAAUACUGAAGAGUAGGGCUGUCCCUACCGCUUCUCACUUCCUUGUUUUCAUCUUUUCGUUAUUAUUAAGCGACCUAACACAAUAAACAUAUUACCUUGUUGGUAACCCUUUUGUAAAGUCAUUCUGAAAGUGCUGUUUGACUCCGUUGCUUGGGUAAUAAGCACGCCUGGGUGAUUCUUGCCCCCUACUGGCUGCGCAUCCUACAAGCCUAGUGCUGAAAGCAAACCAAGUAGCUGGAACAGUUGGAGGUUACAGUGUGAACUCUUCCAG